GUGGGGGGGGGACAAACACAUGCAAGUCGAGCGGUAGCACAGAGAGCUUGCUCUCGGGUGACGAGCGGCGGACGGGUGAGUAAUGUCUGGGAAACUGCCUGAUGGAGGGGGAUAACUACUGGAAACGGUAGCUAAUACCGCAUAACGUCGCAAGACCAAAGUGGGGGACCUUCGGGCCUCAUGCCAUCAGAUGUGCCCAGAUGGGAUUAGCUAGUAGGUGGGGUAACGGCUCACCUAGGCGACGAUCCCUAGCUGGUCUGAGAGGAUGACCAGCCACACUGGAACUGAGACACGGUCCAGACUCCUACGGGAGGCAGCAGUGGGGAAUAUUGCACAAUGGGCGCAAGCCUGAUGCAGCCAUGCCGCGUGUGUGAAGAAGGCCUUCGGGUUGUAAAGCACUUUCAGCGGGGAGGAAGGCGAUAAGGUUAAUAACCUUGUCGAUUGACGUUACCCGCAGAAGAAGCACCGGCUAACUCCGUGCCAGCAGCCGCGGUAAUACGGAGGGUGCAAGCGUUAAUCGGAAUUACUGGGCGUAAAGCGCACGCAGGCGGUCUGUCAAGUCGGAUGUGAAAUCCCCGGGCUCAACCUGGGAACUGCAUUCGAAACUGGCAGGCUAGAGUCUUGUAGAGGGGGGUAGAAUUCCAGGUGUAGCGGUGAAAUGCGUAGAGAUCUGGAGGAAUACCGGUGGCGAAGGCGGCCCCCUGGACAAAGACUGACGCUCAGGUGCGAAAGCGUGGGGAGCAAACAGGAUUAGAUACCCUGGUAGUCCACGCCGUAAACGAUGUCGAUUUGGAGGUUGUGCCCUUGAGGCGUGGCUUCCGGAGCUAACGCGUUAAAUCGACCGCCUGGGGAGUACGGCCGCAAGGUUAAAACUCAAAUGAAUUGACGGGGGCCCGCACAAGCGGUGGAGCAUGUGGUUUAAUUCGAUGCAACGCGAAGAACCUUACCUGGUCUUGACAUCCACAGAACUUAGCAGAGAUGGUUUGGUGCCUUCGGGAACUGUGAGACAGGUGCUGCAUGGCUGUCGUCAGCUCGUGUUGUGAAAUGUUGGGUUAAGUCCCGCAACGAGCGCAACCCUUAUCCUUUGUUGCCAGCGGUUCGGCCGGGAACUCAAAGGAGACUGCCAGUGAUAAACUGGAGGAAGGUGGGGAUGACGUCAAGUCAUCAUGGCCCUUACGACCAGGGCUACACACGUGCUACAAUGGCAUAUACAAAGAGAAGCGACCUCGCGAGAGCAAGCGGACCUCAUAAAGUAUGUCGUAGUCCGGAUUGGAGUCUGCAACUCGACUCCAUGAAGUCGGAAUCGCUAGUAAUCGUAGAUCAGAAUGCUACGGUGAAUACGUUCCCGGGCCUUGUACACACCGCCCGUCACACCAUGGGAGUGGGUUGCAAAAGAAGUAGGUAGCUUAACCUUCGGGAGGGCGCUACCACCUUG
RNAcentral lists this ribosomal RNA (1435 nucleotides) under Klebsiella pneumoniae. RNAcentral's name for it is "bacterial SSU rRNA". It matches the Rfam family "Bacterial small subunit ribosomal RNA". The record is from RNAcentral. Lineage: Bacteria; Pseudomonadati; Pseudomonadota; Gammaproteobacteria; Enterobacterales; Enterobacteriaceae.